UCUAUUUCUGCUUGGGCCUUCUUUAGAACUUUCGGGUGGUUAAGCAGGAGUGAAAUUGCCCAUUCCAUAGGAUUCACUGACGACUCCGUUCCACCCAAUAGUUGAACCACCACAAGGGAUCUAAUCAUCUCGUCUUUGUAGAACUCUGGAUCCGUUUUUUGCAGCGACAACAAAAUAUCAAUCAUGUUUCCGCCUUGUGUUUCGUCGGAAUCAAAGCUCGCUAAUCUUUUUCGAUGUUCUUCAACCAUAUUCUGCAUAAAUCUUUCUCUCUUAAUCUGCAAAUCAGCCAACCUCUUUUCCGUUCUG
RNAcentral lists this unclassified non-coding RNA (306 nucleotides) under Hevea brasiliensis (rubber tree). Lineage: Eukaryota; Viridiplantae; Streptophyta; Magnoliopsida; Malpighiales; Euphorbiaceae. The record is from RNAcentral.